This 457-nucleotide ribosomal RNA is filed under the name uncultured bacterium. Its description in RNAcentral is "partial 16S ribosomal RNA". It matches the Rfam family "Bacterial small subunit ribosomal RNA", at positions 355 to 799 of the family's 1533-position model. The record is from RNAcentral.
UGGGGAAUUUUGGACAAUGGGCGAAAGCCUGAUCCAGCAAUGCCGCGUGUGUGAAGAAGGCCUUCGGGUUGUAAAGCACUUUUGUCCGGAAAGAAAUGGCUCUGGUUAAUACCUGGGGUCGAUGACGGUACCGGAAGAAUAAGGACCGGCUAACUACGUGCCAGCAGCCGCGGUAAUACGUAGGGUCCAAGCGUUAAUCGGAAUUACUGGGCGUAAAGCGUGCGCAGGCGGUUGUGCAAGACCGAUGUGAAAUCCCCGAGCUUAACUUGGGAAUUGCAUUGGUGACUGCACGGCUAGAGUGUGUCAGAGGGGGGUAGAAUUCCACGUNUAGCAGUGAAAAUGCGUAGAGAUGUGGAGGAAAUACCGAUGGGCGAAAGGCAGCCCCCUGGGAUAACACUGACGCUCAUGCACGAAAAGCGUGGGGAGCAAACAGGAUUAGAUACCCUGGUAGUCCACG